RNAcentral lists this ribosomal RNA (305 nucleotides) under uncultured bacterium. RNAcentral's name for it is "bacterial SSU rRNA". It matches the Rfam family "Bacterial small subunit ribosomal RNA", at positions 333 to 636 of the family's 1533-position model. The record is from RNAcentral.
GUUAGCCUACGGGGGGCAGCAGUGAGGAAUAUUGGUCAAUGGGCGCGAGCCUGAACCAGCCAAGUCGCGUGAGGGAAGACGGUGCUAUGGAUUGUAAUCCUCUUUUGUCGGGGAGCAAAAGACGCCACGCGUGGCGUUCCGAGAGUACCCGAAGAAAAAGCAUCGGCUAACUCCGUGCCAGCAGCCGCGGUAAUACGGAGGAUGCGAGCGUUCUCCGGAUUUAUUGGGUUUAAAGGGUGCGCAGGCGGAAGAUCAAGUCAGCGGUAAAAUUGAGAGGCUCAACCUCUUAGAGCCGUUGAACCUGG